Molecule: long non-coding RNA, 216 nt
Filed under: Salvia miltiorrhiza (redroot sage)
Lineage: Eukaryota; Viridiplantae; Streptophyta; Magnoliopsida; Lamiales; Lamiaceae
Description: long non-coding RNA (SMIL_LNC003384)
Source: RNAcentral
UUUAGGAAAUCUGGUUUCAAGUGUUUAUUCAAAGUUGUGAUCUGACGAUAAUGAAUAAUAGUUGAAAUUGAUUCAAUUAGUUAUGUUUCUUUUGGUGGCUACUCAUAUGUGUUGUACACGAAUUGUUGCAAAGUAAAUCAAUUGGUGUGAUGAAUGUUUGAUGCAGGCAUGAGAUCGUGGGCAUAGCAACAGAGGUAGGCAACAAGGUUGAGAAAG